UCUUCUCUAUCAUUCUUCCUUUCUAUUUCUCUUUCUUUUUUUUUUCAAUUCUUUUAUUUUUCUUCAUCCUGAUUGUGUUUGUAAGUAAAUACGGUCUAGUUGAAGUUAAAUGCUGUAAGUCGCAUCGAUCGAAAGGCUAUUGAGUAAGUCACUGUCUAUUCGUUUGUUUUUACGGUUUUUCCCUUUUGUCAUUCGUAACUUCUCUGAAUCGGGUAUUUGAAUGUAUUGUGAGAAUCUUUGAUAUACAAUGGUUUAUUUUACUAUUAGGCAGAAGUAUCGGAAGUAACAAACAGUGACACGCCAAUUCCAGUGAUCGUCGUUGAGUUGUCGGU
RNAcentral lists this long non-coding RNA (332 nucleotides) under Gossypium barbadense (sea-island cotton). RNAcentral describes it as "long non-coding RNA (GBAR_LNC019199)". The record is from RNAcentral. Lineage: Eukaryota; Viridiplantae; Streptophyta; Magnoliopsida; Malvales; Malvaceae.